Molecule: long non-coding RNA, 1166 nt
Organism: Vicia villosa (hairy vetch)
Lineage: Eukaryota; Viridiplantae; Streptophyta; Magnoliopsida; Fabales; Fabaceae
Exons: 3
Source: RefSeq, a predicted model, not a curated record
UGUGUCACUUUCCAUCAAUCAUCAUAUUGCAAUUUUAUAGCUUGUUAUUUAGAUUAGAGUUUUCUCUGGUAAUAUUGAUGUUUGUAAAAAAGGACUGUCUGUUAGUAAUUUUUUGUUGGUUUUGAUUUUUGAGCACAACAGUGCUUAUUUUACAUGACAGUUUCUUCUUGUAAGUGCUGGCCUUUUGUACUUAUGCUACAUGAUGGCUACUUCUCGUAGUCUCGCUGUUGAUUGAUGUUUUUGUAGCUAUGCCGAGGCUGAUCCAUCUGAAAGGAGUUAUAAAAGGAAAAAGAAGGAAUUUGAACCACCUGAGCGAGUUCAGAAAUGCCGUAAAGCAGAGUAUUCAGCUCCUACAGUACUAAUGGUUGAUGGAGCUUCUAUCCAAGUUAGAAGUUAGUCGUAUGGGAAGUUAAAGUCGGCUUUUCAGAAUCAAAUAUUCAGAGUUUAGAUUCUUCACUCUGCGCGCUAUGUCUGGUUGAAUGUUAAUUUCGUUAUUGUAUGUAUUUGAUUCAUUUGUGCUGUUGACAUCAGGUUAGAGUUAAUACACGACUUCUUUAUCAGCAAACCAAAUUCAACCUUCUCAGAGAAGAGAGCGAGGGCUAUGCCAAAUUGGCUGCUUUAUUUGAUAAAUGAAGGUAGUGGUUAAUUGGAAUUUGGAAGAGAAAUGCAUAUGAACGUGUGGAUUCAAAGGACUUUCAGUUUGUGUCGAUUCGAAUAUGUCAUGGGCUGGCCGUUCGAUUGAACACUCCUGUACUGAUGUGCACUAAAUUAUGCAGGUUAACCGAUGGUUGUCAAGUUGUGGUUAUAAGCUUUAGUAUGAGAUUCGAAUAUUCUUCGGAGGCCCUGAUGAUAAUGAAGCACUUGCUUACGGUAUGAGAAUAGCCGAACAUCCUGACAUUGUGCUAACUGUUGUUAAAUUUGUGUAUCCACCCGGAACAACAUUAUCAUUCGGCGCUAAGUUAGUCGGUGUUGCAUCGGUAGAAUAUACUAUGUUAGGAAGAAUGUAAAUAGGUUAACAGUUGAUUGUAUAUUAUCAAAGAAUGUAAAUAGGUUAACUGGUGAUUGUAUGUUAUCAUUUCAUCAUUAAUUUUUUUACUGAGGUGCUUUUGAAUUUUCAUUUGUAUCAUAUUUCCAAACAAUGAUAUUAUUAUUAUUAUUAUUAUUAU